UUGAACGCUGGCGGCAUGCCUUACACCUGCAAGUCGAACGGUAACGGGCCUUCGGGUGCCGACGAGUGGCGAACGGGUGAGUAAUACAUCGGAACGUGCCCGAUCGUGGGGGAUAACGAGGCGAAAGCUUUGCUAAUACCGCAUACGAUCUACGGAUGAAAGCAGGGGACCGCAAGGCCUUGCGCGGACGGAGCGGCCGAUGGCAGAUUAGGUAGUUGGUGGGAUAAAAGCUUACCAAGCCGACGAUCUGUAGCUGGUCUGAGAGGAUGAUCAGCCACACUGGGACUGAGACACGGCCCAGACUCCUACGGGAGGCAGCAGUGGGGAAUUUUGGACAAUGGGCGCAAGCCUGAUCCAGCCAUGCCGCGUGCAGGAUGAAGGCCUCCGGGUUGUAAACUGCUUUUGUACGGAACGAAAAGCCUUCUUUUAAUACAGGAGGGUCAUGACGGUACCGUAAGAAUAAGCACCGGCUAACUACGUG
This 481-nucleotide ribosomal RNA is filed under the name uncultured bacterium. RNAcentral describes it as "partial 16S ribosomal RNA". It matches the Rfam family "Bacterial small subunit ribosomal RNA", at positions 30 to 507 of the family's 1533-position model. The record is from RNAcentral.